GUCCUGAGGUGGCUGGUGUUGUAAGUCACCUGUGCUUGUUCAUUCUCCCCGCUGGCCUCUGGUUUCCUGGUUUCCCUGUUUCCCAGAGCAGGGCGUAACUAGUCCAAGGUCCCCAAACCCCGGUCGCCCCUUCCAUGCGUCUGACUGCCGGCAGUGUCAAGUUUCUCUGUCCAGCACAUGAGCCACGAGAAUGAAAAGUCUCAGAUGCUUUGUCUUUUGCAGGCUUCCUUAAGCUAACGCCUAGGAGUAGAAGGGAAACUGACUGACUUCUAAGCUGCACUUGGUUCAGACUUUGGAAGCCCACUGCAAGAGCUCAAGGGAUAGUUCCUAAGAGUAAAUAAAUUUAUGAGACCCAAGAUUACCGUGCAUUCACAAGGGUCUUUCACAGGUCAUAAAACCUUCCACAGG
RNAcentral lists this long non-coding RNA (408 nucleotides) under Sarcophilus harrisii (Tasmanian devil). Its description in RNAcentral is "lncRNA (ENSSHAG00000024518.1)". The record is from RNAcentral. Lineage: Eukaryota; Metazoa; Chordata; Mammalia; Dasyuromorphia; Dasyuridae.